This 1004-nucleotide ribosomal RNA is filed under the name Placusa sp. prope tachyporoides ZMUN 10002541. RNAcentral describes it as "eukaryotic LSU rRNA". It matches the Rfam family "Eukaryotic large subunit ribosomal RNA", at positions 80 to 847 of the family's 3401-position model. The record is from RNAcentral. Lineage: Eukaryota; Metazoa; Arthropoda; Insecta; Coleoptera; Staphylinidae.
UUAGUAACGGCGAGCGAACAGGGAAAAGCCCAGCACUGAAUCGUGCGGUUCUUUGAGCCGUUGCGAAAUGUAGUGUUUGGGAGGGUCCGCUAUUCCGUGGUUUUGCAUUGCGUCCAAGUCCUUCUUGAACGGGGCCUUUUACCCAUAGAGGGUGCCAGGCCCGUAGUGACCAUUGCUGACUGCGGAAGGAUCUCUCCCUAGAGUCGGAUUGCUUGAGAGUGCAGUCCUAAGUGGGUGGUAAACUCCAUCUAAGGCUAAAUAUAACCACAAGACCGAUAGCGAACAAGUACCGUGAGGGAAAGUUGAAAAGAACUUUGAAGAGAGAGUUCAAUAGUACGUGAAACCGUUUAAGGGUAAACCUGAGAAACCCGAAAGUUCGAACGGGGAGAUUCAAUGCGUUUCGUUAUGUGCGAGUGCCGUUUUUAGACGAUUAUCGUUCGCGUUAACCGCUAGAAACGUGCGCCGUUGCGUGGCGAACGCGUGCACUUCUCCUCCAGUAGGACGUCACGACCCGUUGGGUGUCRGUCUAAGGCUUGCAGUGGAGCCCGUUCGUCAGUUUCGGCUGUGCGUUCGGACCUGUGGUGUCCCGACGAUUGCUCGACGGUUAAAUUAUGGCGCAGAGCCGCGACUCGUUCGCGUUCAGAUCCGUGCAAGCGUAGAGGGUUACUCUUUUUCGGGACUUUGUGCCGAUCUCGAGGCCGUUUAGCUGUUUGCGUCGGUAUCUUGGGCAGUGCUCUCGUCUGUCAGUGGCGCUAUAGCUUUGGGUACUUUCAGGACCCGUCUUGAAACACGGACCAAGGAGUCUAGCAUGUGCGCAAGUCAUUGGGACUAUCGAAUCCUAAAGGCGCAAUGAAAGUAAAGGCAGAGUUUAGCUCGGUCGAGGGAAGAUGGGUUACUUCGGUUACCUCGCAUUCCCGGGGCGUCUCAUUCUCAUUGCGAGAAGAGGCGCACUUAGAGCGUACAUGCUAUGACCCGAAAGAUGGUGAACUAUGCCUGGUCAGGAC